AAUCAACGCUGGCGGCGUGCCUAACACAUGCAAGUCGAACGCGAAAGCCCCGCAAGGGGUAAGUAGAGUGGCAAACGGGUGAGUAACACGUGGGUGACCUGCCUUCGAGUGGGGGAUAACGUCCCGAAAGGGACGCUAAUACCGCAUGACAUCCUGCUCUUGGACGAGCGGAGAUCAAAGCUAGGGAUCGCAAGACCUGGCGCUUGAAGAGGGGCCCGGGCCUGAUUAGCUAGUUGGUGGGGUAACGGCCUACCAAGGCGACGAUGCGUAGCCGACCUGAGAGGGUGACCGGCCACACUGGGACUGGGACACGGCCCAGACUCCUACGGGAGGCAGCAGUAGGGAAUUUUCCACAAUGGGCGAAAGCCUGAUGGAGCAACGCCGCGUGAACGAUGAAGGUCUUCGGAUUGUAAAGUUCUGUUGUCAGGGACGAAACCGUACCGUUCGAACAGGGCGGUACCUUGACGGUACCUGACGAGAAAGCCACGGCUAACUACGUGCCAGCCGCCGCAGUAA
This 516-nucleotide ribosomal RNA is filed under the name uncultured bacterium. Its description in RNAcentral is "partial 16S ribosomal RNA". It matches the Rfam family "Bacterial small subunit ribosomal RNA", at positions 32 to 523 of the family's 1533-position model. The record is from RNAcentral.